GCGCGGGAGAGACCGGCUUGAUGCCGGCGCCGAAGGAGCAACCCCCCGGAAUCUCUCAGGCAAAAGGACCGCGUGU
This 76-nucleotide non-coding RNA is filed under the name uncultured Spiribacter sp. RNAcentral's name for it is "Glycine riboswitch". It matches the Rfam family "Glycine riboswitch aptamer", at positions 9 to 86 of the family's 94-position model. Rfam says of the family: This family represents the bacterial glycine riboswitch. Glycine riboswitches usually consist of two metabolite-binding aptamers domains with similar structures in tandem. The record is from RNAcentral. Lineage: Bacteria; Pseudomonadati; Pseudomonadota; Gammaproteobacteria; Chromatiales; Ectothiorhodospiraceae.